RNAcentral lists this non-coding RNA (85 nucleotides) under Solidesulfovibrio magneticus. Its description in RNAcentral is "Desulfovibrio magneticus c-di-GMP sequence". It matches the Rfam family "c-di-GMP-I riboswitch aptamer". Rfam says of the family: GEMM was predicted in a large-scale screen for bacterial structured RNA regulatory elements. Genes associated with GEMM are involved in a diverse array of functions, including chemotaxis regulation, signal transduction, secretion and chitin. Lineage: Bacteria; Pseudomonadati; Thermodesulfobacteriota; Desulfovibrionia; Desulfovibrionales; Desulfovibrionaceae. The record is from RNAcentral.
GCCCAAUAACGCCACCCCUGCCGCGAGGCAGGUCCGGAAAGCCGCGGGUCUCGACGGCCGUCGUCGAGACAGCCGGGCCGCUGGG